Unclassified non-coding RNA from Mesocricetus auratus (golden hamster), 283 nucleotides. Its record names the gene 7SK. It matches the Rfam family "7SK RNA". From Rfam's summary of the family: 7SK was discovered as an abundant small nuclear RNA in the mid-70s but a possible function has only recently been suggested. Two independent studies have found that 7SK RNA binds the CDK9/cyclin T complex (known as elongation factor P-TEFb). P-TEFb activates transcription by phosphorylating the C-terminal domain of RNA polymerase II. Lineage: Eukaryota; Metazoa; Chordata; Mammalia; Rodentia; Cricetidae. The record is from Ensembl.
GGAACUUGGCUUGGGCAUCUGUCAUUCUGUUGGCCAUCGUGGUUGACCUAGGUGGUCUGGCUGUUGAGAGGGGAACUUACUGCUCCUGGUGUCUCUUCCAAAGCUGUGUGACUGGCUAAAGAUGACCUUCUCCAGUAAAGGGCUGUUCUUUGGCUAAGAGCAUACAAGUAGUUGUACUUCUCAGCCAGAAUCUCCAAAAUGGUCUCAGGAAAUCAGAACUUCUCUCUCCUUGGGUGAAGAUGAAGCCUGGCCAGUCACUGGGACAAUCAGCUUGUCUCCCCCA